Long non-coding RNA from Megalobrama amblycephala (Wuchang bream), 524 nucleotides. RefSeq lists it as uncharacterized. Lineage: Eukaryota; Metazoa; Chordata; Actinopteri; Cypriniformes; Xenocyprididae. The transcript is spliced from 3 exons. The record is from RefSeq and is a predicted model, not a curated record.
CAACGUUUUGUGGCAAAGUGAAUGACACGUCUUUUUCUCUCUUGGAGAUUAUUUCUUUCUUUUAUUUUUGUUCUUGAGUUUCUGUCUAAUGUCACUCAUCUUUUCCCUUUCAGCAAGGAAGAGCAUAUUCUCUGGAGUUACACUCCAUGAAGCUGUGUUAAAUCCAGCUGAGGCUUUCCUCUCUUAACUGUGAUACGAUCACUCACAUUAUUCGUAUGUGUGUGAGUUGUUCUGGAAUAACUUUUUUGCUGACAAUGGUGUUUUGUUUCCAUGGCAACUGCUCGGACCCGUUCCCUUUGCCACUGAGGAGAUGAGGCAAGGUGCAGCUGAGGGCAUUUCUGAGUGACCACGGUUGUCAUGUGACACUGAGAAGACUUGGCUCCACUUGGCUCAUCUCCGUCCUCCUCUCUGAUCCCAUGAGCACAUGUCUGUCUCCAUGGAGAGCCCUUUCUACAGUCACCAGAGUGCGACACGCCUGAAGGCGACAAGCUGAGAACAACACAGUCUCCAUCUACACCAGAGAG